Pectinophora gossypiella (pink bollworm) is the source of this 185-nucleotide long non-coding RNA. RefSeq lists it as uncharacterized. NCBI's taxonomy places the organism in Eukaryota, Metazoa, Arthropoda, Insecta, Lepidoptera, Gelechiidae. The record is from RefSeq and is a predicted model, not a curated record. The transcript has 3 exons.
UUAUCAGUCGCUGACGCCGCACGGAAACUUCUUAUUCUAAAUACCUACUAGCGUGGAAUACAAAAACUACUUUCUAAAAGGAUUGAUUUUUGAUGCCGUUGCAUAUCAAUAGGAAGUGGGUAAGUAACGCAAAUUGAAUUACCCCGCCGGAGUUUGAGGAAGUUGAAAUAGAAGAUGGUAUUUAU